CUAACUGGAGGACCGAACCGACUAAUGUUGAAAAAUUAGCGGAUGACUUGUGGCUGGGGGUGAAAGGCCAAUCAAACCGGGAGAUAGCUGGUUCUCCCCGAAAGCUAUUUAGGUAGCGCCUCGUGAACUCAUCUCCGGGGGUAGAGCACUGUUUCGGCAAGGGGGUCAUCCCGACUUACCAACCCGAUGCAAACUGCGAAUACCGGAGAAUGUUAUCACGGGAGACACACGGCGGGUGCUAACGUCCGUCGUGAAGAGGGAAACAACCCAGACCGCCAGCUAAGGUCCCAAAGUCAUGGUUAAGUGGGAAACGAUGUGGGAAGGCCCAGACAGCCAGGAUGUUGGCUUAGAAGCAGCCAUCAUUUAAAGAAAGCGUAAUAGCUCACUGGUCGAGUCGGCCUGCGCGGAAGAUGUAACGGGGCUAAACCAUGCACCGAAGCUGCGGCAGCGACGCUUAUGCGUUGUUGGGUAGGGGAGCGUUCUGUAAGCCUGCGAAGGUGUGCUGUGAGGCAUACUGGAGGUAUCAGAAGUGCGAAUGCUGACAUAAGUAACGAUAAAGCGGGUGAAAAGCCCGCUCGCCGGAAGACCAAGGGUUCCUGUCCAACGUUAAUCGGGGCAGGGUGAGUCGACCCCUAAGGCGA
RNAcentral lists this ribosomal RNA (641 nucleotides) under Escherichia coli. RNAcentral describes it as "partial 23S ribosomal RNA". It matches the Rfam family "Bacterial large subunit ribosomal RNA", at positions 762 to 1399 of the family's 2925-position model. Lineage: Bacteria; Pseudomonadati; Pseudomonadota; Gammaproteobacteria; Enterobacterales; Enterobacteriaceae. The record is from RNAcentral.